This is a small nuclear RNA of Gastrolobium bilobum, 110 nucleotides long. Lineage: Eukaryota; Viridiplantae; Streptophyta; Magnoliopsida; Fabales; Fabaceae. The record is from RefSeq and is a predicted model, not a curated record.
UUUCUUUUUGAAACUUAAGAAUUGUUGGCAUCUCCCCUGACAGGGACGGGAACAGCCUUCGGGCUUUCCUUGUUAUCACAUCCGGUUAAGGCUACCAACCUCAUUGAAUU